UGGUCAAGAUUCCUGACCAAAAGUCCUCUGAAACCUGUGCAAUUAUGAAAUCAAACAAAGAGAGAAAUUAUUGGAGAGUUUUGAGAUGGUGAGACAACUUUGUGUCAUCUUUAUUUUAUCUCUAUUUGAACUUCCCCAGACCAAUCAUCAGAAUGUGCUGCAGGUUGUAUCGCUGGAAUUGUAAUCGCAUGUUUUGCCAUCGUUGCUGUUGCUUGUGGUGUAGGAUACUACUUUUAUAGAAGAAGAACCAACAAAAAUCCACAGACACAUAAUACAGGAGAACAUGUGUAUGAGAACAGUUCCCCAUGUGACAAGACAAGUUGAACUGUAUUUCUAUGUUAAGAUGAAACAUUUGUGAAGUCUCUAUCUGCUCCAGGAAGACAAAAGUUAUUGUUUUUGUUAGUUUGUUGGUUAUAAUAUUUUUGGGAGGUCAUUAUGAAAAUAUUUUAACAGGACAUAUGAAGAUUGUUUAUAAAUUAUUAGCCUACAACAAUAAAUAUGAAGGUUUUCUCUAAGUUUGAAUUUUUUAAGUUGCUACUAUUUUGAUAUAGGUUCUCUGUCUGUAGCCCCUUAUUGAUCAUUAAAUGUAAAAUAAAUACAACCAAUAC
Long non-coding RNA from Oreochromis aureus, 608 nucleotides. RefSeq lists it as uncharacterized. Lineage: Eukaryota; Metazoa; Chordata; Actinopteri; Cichliformes; Cichlidae. The transcript has 4 exons. The record is from RefSeq and is a predicted model, not a curated record.